UUGUGACUUCUGCUAAGACUUGUGCAUGAUACACUAUUUAAAAAUGAGUAUUAAAUUAUAAUAUAAACCAUACAUACAAUAAAAAUAUAAUAUAAAUUAUAAAAAUAUUAGGUGCCUAUUACUGAUGUUCUAGGCACAUGACAAACAAAGAACAGCAUCGAGUCAAUGUACCAUACUAUGUUGUAGCCUAUCAAGGAGUUUUAUACCAGAUUAACAAGGGCUGAUUCUGAAAAUCUUCAAAAAUUAUGAAGAGUAUUCCAUAGAUACGAGUCCUCUUUGGCAAAGAUCUGAACAGUAAUUUUUCCAUUUUUGCAGCCCCAAAGCAGCUUAUCCUCUAUCUUUAGAAUACAAGAUGUCAUUUAAGAAACCUGAAACUAAUGAAGGUGGCUAGGACCAGGUAUAUGAAUGGCUUUUAAAAUCUUUUUAUUGUGUUUUUGGAUGAACGCAGCAAUGGAGUUACUGUAUCUGCAAGUCUGAAUCCAUUGUUCAGGCUAACAAAUUCAUGUGGCCAGACAAGCUAAAAACAAGUUAGACCCAACUCUGCUAACAGUUUUCCUGUAGCUUUCUGAAUUCAGCUUUGUCCUACUGCAGGUGCAAUCUGGCCAGAUUUGUUCAACCUUGUCAACUGAUUAAACUUUUCUACCGGAUGCUGCAAUAGCUCUAUUGUUGACUAGCUCUCACACCAAGUCAGAGAUUAGCUGCACUGCAUACUGGGCAAACCCUCGUCACACAUACCCACAGAAGUACUCGGUAGCAGGUAGAGGGAGCGGGGAGGAGGAACUGAGCUGCCCACAGCAUUCGGAGACCAGCGGCUGGAAAAGCAGGUGAUCCACGGGUUCAUGGGAUGUGGAAGCUGAAGUAGUGGGACCCGAAGGUGAGAGCCCUCAGACUAGUCCCAAAACUGCUGGUGAUCUUGAUCCAAAUUGCCUGGUCUGGUGUCUUGAUCCAAAGACCGCACAAAAAAGAUUGCACCUUGACUGUCUCUAUAACGGACAUCCCCCAAGCAAUGGUUGCUGAGAGUAAUUUAAUUUAAUUUUUUUUAACGCGCACUCAACAAAGUUCUAAGGUAAGUAGCUCUACAGGAGCCAGUUGGAACUAAGUAGGACAAGAAGUAAUGGGCUUAAUUUGCAGCAAGGAAGAUUUAGGUUAGAUAUUAGGAAAAAAACAUUCUAACUAAAAGGGUAGUUAAGAUCUGGAAUAGUCUUCCAAGAAGUAUCCUCAUCAUUGGAAGUUUUUGAGAAAAACUUGGACAAACACCUGUCAGGGAUGGUCUAGGUUUACUUGGUCCUGUCACAGUGCAGAGGGCUGGAUUUGAUGAUUUCUCAAGAUCCAUUCCAGCCCUAUAUUUAUAUGAUCUAUGAAUUCUGGUUAUUAAUUUCCACAAAAUCUUUUAUGACUUGUCAUUGGUUGUGAAUUAAAUGUCAUAAUUAAUCUGAAAUUAUAAAUAAAAUUAAAGAAAACAUACAAAGAGAAUAGAGAUGGAGAAGCCUAUUUAAUAUUAAAAUCAGUCUCCCUGCAUUGCAUUGUCUCAUAGAUAGGGCCCUACCAAAUUCACACCAUGAAAAACACAUCACAGAUCACAAAAUCUGGUCUCCCCCAUGAAAUCUGGUCUUUUGCAUACUUUUACUCUAUCCUAUAAAAGUACCCUAUACUAUAGAGUAAAAAUAUACAAAAGUACACAGCAUUUCUAACACUGGGGAUUCCAACCCAAAAGGGAUUCAUAAGGCUAUUGUGGGGAGGCAGGGUCAUAGUAUUGCCACCCUUACUUUUGGGCUGCUGCUAGCAGUAGUGCUGCUUUCAGAGCUGGGCAGCCGGCCAGUGGCCACUGCUCUCCGGCCACCUAGCUCUGAAGGCACAGAAGUAAAGAUGGCAAUAUCGUGACCCGUCUACAAUAGCCUUGCAACUCCUGUUUGGGUCAGCACCCCCAGUUUGAGAAACAUGGACUCUUAAGGGCUUUACAUGUUUAUAUUUUGCUGUUGUAAAAUACACAUUAAUGUUCGUUACAACAAUGUGAAAUUUAAGAUUUAAAUAUCUGAAACCGUGAAACUGAAGAUUUUUAAAAUGCUAUUACUGUGAAAUUUACAAAAAUAGUGAAUUUGGUAGAGACCUACUCAGAGAAUAUUUUAAAUGCUUUGUCAAGUCUAGUUUUAAAUGCCCAAAGUGACUUCCAUUACAUCCCGUUGGAAACUCAUUGAGGAUUUUUUUUUUAUUCAGCCAAAUUUCCCUUCACUUCAUUUUUUCCCAUUGAUAAAGUGAACUUUAUCAAAAUGUGGUAAAGCCCUACAUGGCAGUGUAAUUUUUUUAAAACAGGAGUUCAAGGUAACUGCUACAUGUGGCAGAGAAAUGUUUUUUAAUUUUUCCAGCAGACCAAGAGAUAAGUGAUUUGGCCACAAGAACAAAUAAAAUCAAAGGCCAGUGCAGAUCUUAAUAUAAAUGUCUUUUUGCUCAGAUCUCACAUUUUCAGACCUCAGAGAAGAUAGAAUCUAAGUGACACAACAUAUGAAGAGCAAGAUCAUCAUAGUUGCUGCCACAUAAAUAUAAUUGGUGGAGACCUGAAUUGAGAAUGUAUGAUUAUUGUAGCCACAUUGAAAGAGGACAUGAAUGGUAUAGUAAAAAAAUGGGAGAGUGUAAGGGGGACCAUGUUUCCCUCAUCGUCCUUGUGGAGGAUGUUACUCCAUUUCCUCCAAAACCACUUGUGGUAACCAAGAAAAAACUCCAGUUGUGGUUGAAGAUGCGGUUUGAGCUGUGACAACAAACACUUCUCUUUUUAAGAAAACAACAUUUCCCCCCCCCCCCCCAAGAGAGAAUUUGUCUGACAGAGCUAGUUGUUCAAAUGGCUAUUGAAUCAAUGAGGAAUAGAUGUGUAUAUAGUUAUUUUACUGUCAGGAGAUUAAUUCAUUCACUCACUCAUUUACUCUCUGGGUACUGAACCUUUAAAUAUAUGAGGAAAUGCUAGCUUGUUGCAGAAGCAACUCUGAAGUAUCUACUAUUUUAUUGUUCAGUUCAGAUAUAAUCACUGUAUUCUUUUUCCCAUGGAGACUUUAUUCUUUCUUUCUUUCUUUCUUUGAAAUAAAAGUUGAUAGAUUGUGGUAUGCAGGUUUCACUCUUAACUGAAUUUAUGCCAGAGAAACUUCUGUCACAGAAAGACAUGAAACAACCAUACAGCCUUAACAGAGGUGCUAAUUAUGUUUUAUUUUAAUUAGUCAGUAAAGCCACUGAUAAUUCUCUGAGAGUCCUGGACUGGGUUACUGUUAGCAGGAAGCAUCUCUUUUUGAACAUUGACAGAUCUGCAGACCACAUGGAAGUGCACCCUAGCCACCAGAGUAUCCCGACUGAAGUCUGAGACUCAGUGUGGUAGGACAAUAGGGUUUUUCAUUACCUUUCAUUAACACUGCUGGGGUGCCAGCUAGAGCUGUGUUUUAAUUGUGCCUGCUGUUCAUUUCUUCCUGCUUACUGUAUCUUUUUCUAUAUACUUUUAAACCUUGAUCUGUUUAUUUUCAGAUAAAGAAGGAGGAAUUUCCAUGUUUGUACCCCUUCCAGUUUGCUCAGCAGAAGACAGCACCAACUUAGUUUUAGCUAUAGAGCCAGAAGAUUUCACUGACUUGGAAUGUACUAGGGAAGAAUAAACCUAGUGGUGAUACUGAUUUGACCCUAGAAUCACUAAGGGGCAAAUCCAGUCCACUUCUCCAUAGCCAAGGAGAGUCCAUGUGCAGUCCCUGAGUGGCAUGGAGCCUUCUCCUGCAUGAGCCCCCUGUUCAAUGAUAAGGAGAGGCCAGAAAAUCUGGUGUUACAAGGAACCUCCUAUCUCUGUUCCUACACCCUUCCUGCAUAGAAGCUGCACAAGUGUCCUGGCCAUUGGGCUGCAGUAACCUUUGUGGAGCAAUUCAACAACCACUCUACAGAGUGGAGGGAAGUAUUUUUCUUUCCUGCCCCACCAAACAUCAGCACACCACCACAGGAUUUUUUGGACAGUUGGCGUAUUGUUUGCAUUUUGUGCUUAUUUUGUUUAGUUGGUUCAUACCUUGGUGGAAGUGUGAUUUCUGAUUUUAAACCUGGAAACAAUCAAUAACGAUGUGUUUGAUUGUAUAUAUUUAUUUUGAUUUAUAUUCACAUCUGUGAAAAAGGGAACCUAUUCCUGUCUAUAAGGUUGACAAUUCUUAAAUAAUACAGAAAUGAAGAAGACCAUCCUGUAAAUCCCUUUUCAUCCUCUAAUCAGCAUAUUUACAGUAACCAACAACCCCACAGCAAAACUUUGGCAUAUUGCCAUUUAAUUUCCUAGAUAGGCCUCACAAUCCCUCAAACUGAUUGUCAUACCGUCUGGAGUGGCUCAUGACUGGGAGUCCCUACCUCAGGGCAGUCUGUCCGAAGAGGAGAGACACCCCAAGCUGGUGAUGUGUUCUAUAAUUAGAUUUCACCAAGCCAGUAACAAAUAUGAACUCCUUGAUCAAGAUAACAGGCUUACCAUGGAGUUACAGACAGUCCCCUCUGGUCUAUCUUGCCACCCAGACAAUCUGGACUUAGUGAUAAAUGGUCACUUUCACAAAAAAAACCUCACAAAUUUUAGGUUGCAUCCAGUUCCAUGAGACCAGGCACUUACCACAGAUCAACUGGUACCCUAGAUCUUACACAACAGACAAUACUUAUAGCCAAUCCUGUGUGACAAAGUUCCUGCUCUGCCUUGGUGGGUCUUGCGCUUAUUGGCAGAUUUGCUCGCCUUGGAGCUUCACGGCAGCCCUCAGCUUGGCCGUUUUUCUGAACU
Dermochelys coriacea (leatherback sea turtle) is the source of this 4759-nucleotide long non-coding RNA. RefSeq lists it as uncharacterized. The transcript is spliced from 3 exons. The record is from RefSeq and is a predicted model, not a curated record. NCBI's taxonomy places the organism in Eukaryota, Metazoa, Chordata, Testudines, Dermochelyidae.